CAGCCGCCGCGGGAAUACGUAGGUGGCAAGCGUUGUCCGGAAUUAUUGGGCGUAAAGGGCUCGCAGGCGGUUUCUUAAGUCUGAUGUGAAAGCCCCCGGCUCAACCGGGGAGGGUCAUUGGAAACUGGGAAACUUGAGUGCAGAAGAGGAGAGUGGAAUUCCACGUGUAGCGGUGAAAUGCGUAGAGAUGUGGAGGAACACCAGUGGCGAAGGCGGCUCUCUGGUCUGUAACCGACGCUGAGGAGCGAAAGCGUGGGGAGCAAACAGGAUUAGAUACCCCGGUAGUCCCUGUCUCUUAUAC
Molecule: ribosomal RNA, 301 nt
Filed under: uncultured bacterium
Lineage: Bacteria
Description: partial 16S ribosomal RNA
Rfam family: Bacterial small subunit ribosomal RNA
Source: RNAcentral